GGGCGGUUAACUCAGCGGUAGAGUAUCUGCCUUACAAGCAGAGAGUCAUUGGUUCAAAUCCAAUACCGCCCA
Molecule: transfer RNA, 72 nt
Filed under: Pleurocapsa sp. PCC 7327
Lineage: Bacteria; Bacillati; Cyanobacteriota; Cyanophyceae; Pleurocapsales; Pleurocapsaceae
Also listed under: 2 other names
Description: tRNA-Val (TAC) (tRNA-Val-TAC-1-1)
Rfam family: tRNA
About the family: Transfer RNA (tRNA) molecules are approximately 80 nucleotides in length. Their secondary structure includes four short double-helical elements and three loops (D, anti-codon, and T loops). Further hydrogen bonds mediate the characteristic L-shaped molecular structure. tRNAs have two regions of fundamental functional importance: the anti-codon, which is responsible for specific mRNA codon recognition, and the 3' end, to which the tRNAs corresponding amino acid is attached (by aminoacyl-tRNA synthetases). tRNAs cope with the degeneracy of the genetic code in two manners: having more than one tRNA (with a specific anti-codon) for a particular amino acid; and 'wobble' base-pairing, i.e. permitting non-standard base-pairing at the 3rd anti-codon position.
Source: Rfam by way of RNAcentral